AACAUCUCUUCUUGGUUUGUUUUUUGAAGUAUAGCCUGCCCACUGAUAUUGUUUGAAGGGCCGCGGUAUUUUGACCGUGCAAAGGUAGCAUAAUCAUUAGUUCUUUAAUUGUGAACUGGUAUGAAUGGCUUGACGAGGUGCUGACUGUCUUUGUGUUUAAAAGUUUUGUUGAAUUUAGUCUUCGGGUAAAAAUACUCGAAUUUUGUUGUGGGACGAGAAGACCCUAUAGAGUUUCAUGUAACUUUCUUUUUUUUUGUUUGUUAUUUCUUGCUGAGUUUGGUUGCAUUUUGUUGGGGUGAUGAGAAAAUAUGUUUAACUUUUCUUUUUAAUGUUUCACUUAUUUGUGUUUUCAU
This 353-nucleotide ribosomal RNA is filed under the name Incisitermes schwarzi. Its description in RNAcentral is "partial 16S ribosomal RNA". Lineage: Eukaryota; Metazoa; Arthropoda; Insecta; Blattodea; Kalotermitidae. The record is from RNAcentral.